This 268-nucleotide long non-coding RNA is filed under the name Trifolium pratense (red clover). RNAcentral describes it as "long non-coding RNA (TPRA_LNC013919)". The record is from RNAcentral. Lineage: Eukaryota; Viridiplantae; Streptophyta; Magnoliopsida; Fabales; Fabaceae.
UUAAUAGUAUGGAGUGAAUGAUGGUGUUGAUAGAAACAUAUGACGAAGGAUGGCGAUGGCGUUGAAGAUAUGAUUAAAGAGAGGGAUAAAAAAUAUCAAUCACUAAUUAAUAUAUUUAAUUUUUUUUUUAUAGAUUCUUUUAAUUUUCUUAAUAUUUAAAAUAUAUUUAUUGAAAUGGAAGAAAAAGUUUAAUGACAAGAAUAUUGUUUUGACCAAGUAUGUCAUGUCAUUAAUAGACAUGUCAUCAAAAUUGACCAUAAAAUGGAGU